Molecule: ribosomal RNA, 363 nt
Filed under: uncultured soil bacterium
Lineage: Bacteria
Description: bacterial SSU rRNA
Rfam family: Bacterial small subunit ribosomal RNA
Source: RNAcentral
AGGAUGAACGCUGGCGGCGUGCUUAACACAUGCAAGUCACGGGGGCCCAGCAAUGGGCAACCGGCGAACGGGUGCGUAACACGUGAGCAACCUACCGAAUUGUGGGGGAUAGCCGGCCCAACGGCCGGGUAAUACCGCAUACGCUCGAGACGAGGCAUUUCGACUCGAGGAAACCUCCGGGGCAAUUUGAGGGGCUCGCGGCCUAUCAGCUAGUUGGUGAGGUAACGGCUCACCAAGGCGACGACGGGGUAGCUGGUCUGAGAGGAUGGCCAGCCACAUUGGGACUGAGAUACGGCCCAGACUCCUACGGGAGCAGCAGGUGGGGAAUAUUGGACAAGUGGGCGCAAGCCUGACUCCAGCAAU